RNAcentral lists this ribosomal RNA (1155 nucleotides) under Neocalanus robustior. RNAcentral's name for it is "partial large subunit ribosomal RNA". The record is from RNAcentral. Lineage: Eukaryota; Metazoa; Arthropoda; Copepoda; Calanoida; Calanidae.
AAAUAUAUUUGGUCGAACAGACCGUCUUAGACUAGCUGCUACACAUGUCUAAGUAUUUAAUUCAACAUCGAGGUCACAAACACUUAUUCUGAUAAGAACUCUUAUAAGCAUAAUGCUGUUAUCCCUAGAGGAGCUAAUUUAUUAUUCCGCAAAGGAUCAUAUAAAAUUCAUAAAUUUAAAUAAGAUAAUUAAUAUUUACCCCAAAUAACUGGCCUUAAUUUAAUUUUAAGAAAUUUUUAUGGCCGCAAGCUUCAUAGGGUCUUCUCGUCAUAGAAAACUAUUUAAGUAUUUUCACUUAAAUUAUAAUUUCGCGAACUAGUAUAAAUAAAUUAUUUUAGUGAAACCAUUCAUUCUAUCCCCCAAUUAAGAAACUAAUUAUUAUGCUACCUUAGCACUAGCGCGGCUAUUGAAAUCGAUCAUUGAGCAGGAAAUACAAAUAGUGAUUGAGAUGUUUUUGAUAGACAGGCUAAAUUUAAGUUUGUCGAGUAAUUUUAAUAUAAAUUUUAUUUUAAUAAUAAUAUUUUUAGAAGCUGAUAAUUACAUAACAUAAUAACUACUAAUAUAAAUAUAUUUUAUCUGUCAACGUUAUUGGGACAAAUUAAAUUGAAGUCCUUUAAAUAUUAAAAAUAAGCUAAGUUCAAGAAUUUUAAUAAAUUCUAAUUAACAUUAUUAUUUUUAUUUAACAUUGAAAGAAUAGUGUAUUUAAAUUUAAUUUUAAAACUUGUCUUUUAAAAUAUUGAGAUAGUCUUAUAGUUAGAUUAAAUCUAGUUCAAUUCAAUAAGAAUUAACUUAAUUUAGGCAUAUCGCCCCAAAAAUAGUCUUGUAUAAGAUUUUAUCACAUCUUAAGCGAGACUAUUUUUAUUCUAAGUAAUUCGUAAUUUAAAUUAUUCUAAGUAUUCAUUUAUACAUGAUGCAAAAGGUAAACGCUUUAAAAUUUUUUAGUGUAUUUUUAUAAAUAGAAGAUUAUUAGGUGCAGACUAGGCCAGGUGAAAAUAGUAAUAGAAUUAUUAAAGUUAAUUAUUUUUGAUAAACUAUUUUAUCUCAACCCUAGGGUAUUAUUAAUUUACAAAAUUAAAAUUUUAGAUUAAAUUAUAAGAUAAAACUAUUAGAAACCUAAUUCUUUAUAAAUGUUUUCAAGACAUUCUUUUUAAAUAG